This 624-nucleotide ribosomal RNA is filed under the name Staphylococcus aureus. RNAcentral's name for it is "partial 23S ribosomal RNA". It matches the Rfam family "Bacterial large subunit ribosomal RNA", at positions 2299 to 2925 of the family's 2925-position model. The record is from RNAcentral. Lineage: Bacteria; Bacillati; Bacillota; Bacilli; Caryophanales; Staphylococcaceae.
AACGGAGGCGCUCAAAGGUUCCCUCAGAAUGGUUGGAAAUCAUUCAUAGAGUGUAAAGGCAUAAGGGAGCUUGACUGCGAGACCUACAAGUCGAGCAGGGUCGAAAGACGGACUUAGUGAUCCGGUGGUUCCGCAUGGAAGGGCCAUCGCUCAACGGAUAAAAGCUACCCCGGGGAUAACAGGCUUAUCUCCCCCAAGAGUUCACAUCGACGGGGAGGUUUGGCACCUCGAUGUCGGCUCAUCGCAUCCUGGGGCUGUAGUAGGUCCCAAGGGUUGGGCUGUUCGCCCAUUAAAGCGGUACGCGAGCUGGGUUCAGAACGUCGUGAGACAGUUCGGUCCCUAUCCGUCGUGGGCGUAGGAAAUUUGAGAGGAGCUGUCCUUAGUACGAGAGGACCGGGAUGGACAUACCUCUGGUGUACCAGUUGUCGUGCCAACGGCAUAGCUGGGUAGCUAUGUGUGGACGGGAUAAGUGCUGAAAGCAUCUAAGCACGAAGCCCCCCUCAAGAUGAGAUUUCCCAACUUCGGUUAUAAGAUCCCUCAAAGAUGAUGAGGUUAAUAGGUUCGAGGUGGAAGCAUGGUGACAUGUGGAGCUGACGAAUACUAAUCGAUCGAAGACUUAAUCAA